GAUGAACGCUGGCGGCGUGCUUAACACAUGCAAGUCGAACGGAAAGGCCCAAGCUUGCUUGGGUACUCGAGUGGCGAACGGGUGAGUAACACGUGGGUGAUCUGCCCUGCACUUCGGGAUAAGCCUGGGAAACUGGGUCUAAUACCGGAUAGGACCACAUUUUGGACGGUGUGGUGGAGAGUUUUUCGGUGUGGGAUGAGCUCGCGGCCUAUCAGCUUGUUGGUGGGGUAAUGGCCUACCAAGGCGUCGACGGGUAGCCGGCCUGAGAGGGUGUACGGCCACAUUGGGACUGAGAUACGGCCCAGACUCCUACGGGAGGCAGCAGUGGGGAAGAUUGCACAAUGGGCGCAAGCCUGAUGCAGCGACGCCGCGGGGGGGAGGACGGCCUUCGGGUUGUAAACUCCUUUCGCUAGGGACGAAGCGUUUUUGUGACGGUACCUGGAGAAGAAGCACCGGCUAACUACGUG
This 467-nucleotide ribosomal RNA is filed under the name uncultured bacterium. Its description in RNAcentral is "partial 16S ribosomal RNA". It matches the Rfam family "Bacterial small subunit ribosomal RNA", at positions 28 to 507 of the family's 1533-position model. The record is from RNAcentral.